Molecule: ribosomal RNA, 344 nt
Filed under: Tachina magna
Lineage: Eukaryota; Metazoa; Arthropoda; Insecta; Diptera; Tachinidae
Description: partial 16S ribosomal RNA
Source: RNAcentral
UCUUUUAAUUGAAGGCUUGUAUGAAUGGUUGGACGAGAUAUUGACUGUUUCAUUUUAAUUUUUUUUAGAAUUUAAUUUUUUAGUUAAAAAGCUAAAAUUUAUUUAAAAGACGAGAAGACCCUAUAAAUCUUUAUAUUGGAGUUAUUAUUAUUAUUUUGAUUUAUUUUAUAAUAAUAAUUAAUAAUAUUUUAUUGGGGUGAUAUUAAAAUUUAUAAAACUUUUAAUUUUAUUUACAUUAAUUUAUGAAUAAAUGAUCCAUUUUUAGUGAUUAAAAAUAUAAGUUACUUUAGGGAUAACAGCGUAAUUUUUUUGGAGAGUUCUUAUCGAUAAAAAAGAUUGCGACC